GGUAUCAUUUGGGUGCACAUACGUGCUCCUACGCGUUAGGUGCGGAUGUAGUUCCCUGGUUGGCGCAAGUUUACAAUUCUCACUCGACUGGUCCAUGGUGUCGGCGGUGUUCCGGCGUGUUGUGUGGUCUUUUUGUUUCUCCGAUCUUGUCGCGUGCAGGUGCAACUACUGGUGGGAGUACAACACUUGACUGUAAAAGGCAUUCACAACGGAACUCGGAGAAGGAGUUGUUAUACUAAUGGCACUGUGCAGAAAGGUAAUGGCACUGAAGAUUAUAUAAUUGGACAUUUUUGGGUUUGUUUUCGCUUUCUACAUGCAUAUCGUCCAGAACAAUAAAGUAUCACAUUAUUAUUUUAAA
Molecule: long non-coding RNA, 358 nt
Organism: Ornithodoros turicata
Lineage: Eukaryota; Metazoa; Arthropoda; Arachnida; Ixodida; Argasidae
Exons: 2
Source: RefSeq, a predicted model, not a curated record